CAUGGAGCAGCUUAAAGUGGAGCUUAAAAUAAAACAAAGUGAAAAAUGAGAAUAGGAACAAAAGGACAUGGGAUUCAGAAGAAAUGUGGCAUGGACUCAGUAAGUUUGCUUUUGAUCUCCUGAAACUUGACUUAAUCGGGAAGAAUUUCUUCCUUGAAAGUAGACAGUGUAGACACCAAGAAGGCAUGAUUAUGGCCCCUUGAGGAUAUCAGCAUGUGCUGAACAGAAAGGAUGACAAGAUGGACCUCUUCCCUCUGCAGAAGGUAUGUCAGCAGGAGAAAACACCCCAUCUCUAACAGAAACGGG
Long non-coding RNA from Poecile atricapillus (Black-capped chickadee), 306 nucleotides. RefSeq lists it as uncharacterized. The record is from RefSeq and is a predicted model, not a curated record. NCBI's taxonomy places the organism in Eukaryota, Metazoa, Chordata, Aves, Passeriformes, Paridae. The transcript has 3 exons.